UCGGGAAUAUUGCGCAAUGGAGGAAACUCUGACGCAGUGACGCCGCGUGCAGGAAGAAGGGUUUUCGGAUUGUAAACUGCUUUAGAUAGGGAGAAAAAAUGACAGUACCUAUAGAAUAAGCUCCGGCUAACUACGUGCCAGCAGCCGCGGUAAUACGUAGGGAGCAAGCGUUAUCCGGAUUUAUUGGGUGUAAAGGGUGCGUAGAUGGAUAAACAAGUUGUUUGUGAAAUACCUCGGCUCAACUGAGGAACUGCAAGCAAAACUGUAUAUCUUGAGUACUGGAGGGGAAAGCGGAAUUCCUAGUGUAGCGGUGAAAUGCGUAGAUAUUAGGAAGAACACCGGUGGCGAAGGCGGCUUUCUGGACAGAAACUGACAUUGAGGCACGAAAGUGUGGGGAGCAAACAGGAUUAGAUACCC
Molecule: ribosomal RNA, 417 nt
Filed under: uncultured bacterium
Lineage: Bacteria
Description: bacterial SSU rRNA
Rfam family: Bacterial small subunit ribosomal RNA
Source: RNAcentral